AUUGAACGCUGGCGGCAUGCCUUACACAUGCAAGUCGAACGGUAGAGGGCUUCGGCCCUUGAGAGUGGCGAACGGGUGAGUAAAGCAUCGGAACGUACCCUGUCGAGGGGGAUAACGUAGCGAAAGUUACGCUAAUACCGCAUAAGACCUGAGGGUGAAAGUGGGGGACUGGAAACGGCCUCACGCGAUGGGAGCGGCCGAUGUCGGAUUAGCUAGUUGGUGGGGUAAAGGCCUACCAAGGCGACGAUCCGUAGCGGGUCUGAGAGGAUGAUCCGCCACACUGGGACUGAGACACGGCCCAGACUCCUACGGGAGGCAGCAGUGGGGAAUUUUGGACAAUGGGCGCAAGCCUGAUCCAGCCAUGCCGCGUGGGUGAAGAAGGCCUCGGUUGUAAG
Molecule: ribosomal RNA, 395 nt
Filed under: uncultured bacterium
Lineage: Bacteria
Description: bacterial SSU rRNA
Rfam family: Bacterial small subunit ribosomal RNA
Source: RNAcentral